UGCCGAAAUUUUAUCAUAAAUGCAACAAAUAGUGAACUUUUCAUACAUGAACUCAAAUAAAGAAUACCGUUUGUCAUUUCCGUGCGCAAGCCACUUUUAGGAGAGCAAAAGCCGACCACCCCCCUGGAUAGCAAAAUUUACUAUUUUCAAUUUUUUUUAUAUUUUCCAUAAUUUAAGAACUCAAGCAAUCCAUAAAUAUAAAAAAUUACAUUUCAUGAACAGAAUUGUGGAAUUUAGAGCAAUUUCAAAAUUG
Paramuricea clavata is the source of this 253-nucleotide non-coding RNA. NCBI's taxonomy places the organism in Eukaryota, Metazoa, Cnidaria, Anthozoa, Malacalcyonacea, Plexauridae. The record is from the annotation of a GenBank genome assembly.